UGGUUCAAUGGUAGAAUUUCUGUUUCCCAUGCAGGAGGCCUGGGUUCAAUUCCUGG
Molecule: transfer RNA, 56 nt
Filed under: Loxodonta africana (African savanna elephant)
Lineage: Eukaryota; Metazoa; Chordata; Mammalia; Proboscidea; Elephantidae
Rfam family: tRNA
About the family: Transfer RNA (tRNA) molecules are approximately 80 nucleotides in length. Their secondary structure includes four short double-helical elements and three loops (D, anti-codon, and T loops).
Source: Rfam by way of RNAcentral